GAUGAACGCUAGCGGAAGGCAUAAUACAUGCAAGUCGAACGGAUGUAGCAAUACAUUAGUGGCGCACGGGUGCGUAACGCGUAUGCAACCUACCUUCAUCAGGGGGAUAACUACUCGAAAGGGUGGCUAACACCGCAUAAUACUACUGAAUGGCAUCAUUUGGUAUUUAAAUCUGAGGAGGAUGAAGAUGGGCAUGCGUCUGAUUAGCUAGUUGGUGUGGUAACGGCGCACCAAGGCGACGAUCAGUAGGGGAACUGAGAGGUUGGUCCCCCACACUGGCACUGAGAUACGGGCCAGACUCCUACGGGAGGCAGCAGUAGGGAAUAUUGGUCAAUGGUGGGAACACUGAACCAGCCAUUCCGCGUGCAGGAAGAAGGGUCUCUGACUUGUAAACUGCUUUAGCAAGGGAAGAAAAAGCUCAUGCGUGAGAAAUUGACGGUACCUUGAGAAUAAGCACCGGCUAACUACGUGCCAGCCGCCGCGGUAA
This 487-nucleotide ribosomal RNA is filed under the name uncultured bacterium. RNAcentral describes it as "partial 16S ribosomal RNA". It matches the Rfam family "Bacterial small subunit ribosomal RNA", at positions 28 to 523 of the family's 1533-position model. The record is from RNAcentral.